GACGAACGCUGGCGGCGUGCUUAGCACAUGCAAGUCGAACGGAAAGGCCCUGCUUUUGUGGGGUGCUCGAGUGGCGAACGGGUGAGUAACACGUGAGUAACCUGCCCUUGACUUUGGGAUAACUUCAGGAAACUGGGGCUAAUACCGGAUAGGAGCUCCUGCUGCAUGGUGGGGGUUGGAAAGUUUCGGCGGUUGGGGAUGGACUCGCGGCUUAUCAGCUUGUUGGUGGGGUAGUGGCUUACCAAGGCUUUGACGGGUAGCCGGCCUGAGAGGGUGACCGGCCACAUUGGGACUGAGAUACGGCCCAGACGCGUACGGGAGGCAGCAGUGGGGAAUAUUGCACAAUGGGCGGAAGCCUGAUGCAGCAACGCCGCGUGCGGGAUGACGGCCUUCGGGUUGUAAACCGCUUUCGCCUGUGACGAAGCGUGAGUGACGGUAAUGGGUAAAGAAGCACCGGCUAACUACGUG
This 468-nucleotide ribosomal RNA is filed under the name uncultured bacterium. RNAcentral describes it as "partial 16S ribosomal RNA". It matches the Rfam family "Bacterial small subunit ribosomal RNA", at positions 28 to 507 of the family's 1533-position model. The record is from RNAcentral.